RNAcentral lists this ribosomal RNA (463 nucleotides) under uncultured bacterium. RNAcentral's name for it is "partial 16S ribosomal RNA". It matches the Rfam family "Bacterial small subunit ribosomal RNA", at positions 339 to 795 of the family's 1533-position model. The record is from RNAcentral.
CUACGGGGUGCAGCAGUGGGGAAUAUUGGACAAUGGGGGAAACCCUGAUCCAGCAAUGCCGCGUGUGUGAAGAAGGCCUGCGGGUUGUAAAGCACUUUCGGUUGGGAGGGCUGCUUCUAGCACUAAUAUUGUUGGAAGUUGACGUUACCUUCAGAAGAAGCACCGGCUAACUCCGUGCCAGCAGCCGCGGUAAUACGGAGUGCAAGCGUUAAUCGGAAUUACUGGGCGUAAAGCGCGCGUAGGCGGCUAGAUCAGUCGGGUGUGAAAGCCCCGGGCUUAACCUGGGAACUGCAUCCGAUACUGUCUAGCUUGAGUACAGGAGAGGAGAGUGGAAUUCCACAUGUAGCGGUGAAAUGCGUAGAUAUGUGGAGGAACACCAAUGGCGAAGGCAGCUCUCUGGCCUGAUACUGACGCUGAGGUGCGAAAGCGUGGGGAGCAAACAGGAUUAGAUACCCGAGUAGUC